UGCCCGGGCCAUCUCUCCAUCCCUGGAUAAAUUCACCCCCUCUUUCCCCGUCGGGGUUGGCAGCUCUCCCCCCGGGGGCCGGCCCACCAACACACCAAGGGGAUGGGGAUGCCGAGAACCGGGAACCAACACCCCCCGGAGCCCCGAGGCGACGCCCCGGGCCUGAAGAGCACCUCGGGGCCUUGCUGGCGGCUCGGGCCGAUCGCGGCGCCCUGGGCCGGGAGGGAACGGAGUCCCGGCGGCCGUAGGCAAUAGCUCCGGCCCGGAGACAUCUCCAGUGUCCCCCACCAACCAGCGCUGCCAAUUUCUUGUUAAAAAGACAAAUAACCUUCAGGCAGGCCUCCGAGUGCGGAUAGAGAACUGAAACCGAGGAGCACCGCAAGAGCAUCCCGCCCCCAGACCCCCUCCUGGGCCGCUCCUCCCGCACAGGUACUCACAUGGCAGCGGGCCGGGAGCGGAACCGGGCAUGGCCGGGUGGGCAUGAAGCUGCGCUCAAACCAUCCAGGGAAAUCCCAGGAAAAAA
Calypte anna (Anna's hummingbird) is the source of this 523-nucleotide long non-coding RNA. RefSeq lists it as uncharacterized. The transcript is spliced from 2 exons. The record is from RefSeq and is a predicted model, not a curated record. NCBI's taxonomy places the organism in Eukaryota, Metazoa, Chordata, Aves, Apodiformes, Trochilidae.